GGGUAGGGGAGCGUUCUGUAAGCCUGUGAAGGUGUGCUGUGAGGCAUGCUGGAGGUAUCAGAAGUGCGAAUGCUGACAUAAGUAACGAUAAAGCGGGUGAAAAGCCCGCUCGCCGGAAGACCAAGGGUUCCUGUCCAACGUUAAUCGGGGCAGGGUGAGUCGACCCCUAAGGCGAGGCCGAAAGGCGUAGUCGAUGGGAAACAGGUUAAUAUUCCUGUACUUGGUGUUACUGCGAAGGGGGGACGGAGAAGGCUAUGUUGGCCGGGCGACGGUUGUCCCGGUUUAAGCGUGUAGGCUGGUUUUCCAGGCAAAUCCGGAAAAUCAAGGCUGAGGCGUGAUGACGAGGCACUACGGUGCUGAAGCAACAAAUGCCCUGCUUCCAGGAAAAGCCUCUAAGCAUCAGGUAACAUCAAAUCGUACCCCAAACCGACACAGGUGGUCAGGUAGAGAAUACCAAGGCGCUUGAGAGAACUCGGGUGAAGGAACUAGGCAAAAUGGUGCCGUAACUUCGGGAGAA
Molecule: ribosomal RNA, 517 nt
Filed under: Escherichia coli
Lineage: Bacteria; Pseudomonadati; Pseudomonadota; Gammaproteobacteria; Enterobacterales; Enterobacteriaceae
Description: partial 23S ribosomal RNA
Rfam family: Bacterial large subunit ribosomal RNA
Source: RNAcentral